CACCACCACACCCUGGAGCUUUGAGGACCUUAGUAUUCACCACAGAUGAACCGGAGACUCCUCAGCCCCCAGGUGCAGCAGGAUUCCAGCUGGUCCAGAAGAAACAAGUGCAGCUGCAUAAAAAAUGUUUUCCCAAUUUCACUGAUGGAAAAACAAGGAUGGUGAAGCAGUUAGUGACAGAACCAGGGCUGGAACCCGCCACUCCUGACUCCAAACUCCUGGCGCCUUCUACACGGGGCCUCGAGAAAAGCGGGACAGGUAAGUGCAAAGACCCAAACCCAGCGCAGCGCCCAAGCAGGUGCUCAGGCCCGGGCGCUGAACCCUGACGCUGGGCCUGGAGAGCCAGGAGGUGGCAGUCUGCCCGAGGAGGAGGCUUCCCGAGAAGGCAAGGGCAGCGGACCCGGAGAGAAGCCAGUCUCCGAGUGGGGCUGGGGUUCGCCCACCCAAGCUCCGCCUCCCCCAGGCCCAAAAUUCUGUGCACUAGGAGGCUCGAACUUAAGAGCUGACAGCAGGAGAAAAAGGAGGGGGUGAGGGCAAGAAAUACAAAAGUGAUGAAAAGGGAGAAAUGGGGAGGAGAGACCGGACAUAAAGAAGAACGUUGGGAGCCCGGGGAAAGGGGCCGCACUAGAGGUAGGUCGCGAAUCCGAAGAGCUCCGCUCUGCCAGAGCCCCACAAACAAUCCCCCGGUGGCCCCACUCACCCCAGAUGGC
Molecule: long non-coding RNA, 710 nt
Filed under: Homo sapiens (human)
Lineage: Eukaryota; Metazoa; Chordata; Mammalia; Primates; Hominidae
Description: HSALNT0096237
Source: RNAcentral